GCUUCCUGCUGAGCGCUUAAAACAAAGAGCUUAUUGUGGCUAUUUCUGAGGAACGAGAAAACGAAUGACCUCUGAGAAAGAGGGAGAGGAAGAGAGAGGAAGAGAGAGGAAGAGAGAGGAAGAGAGAGAAUAAUGUUACACUAGCACAGAAGGCAUGAAUACAUGAAGACAUGGAGCAAAAAUUAUAAGAAGCGAAGCGGGCGAGUUGUAGACGUUGGCACUAUCACGUAAGACGAUCGGCAUUAAAAUCAGAAGCAUGAUGGCAAGAAAAGGACAGGAUGUUAUAGACAUACGUCCCCCGAAGAGGAGGAAGAAAAAAGAAAGAGAAAGCAAACAAACACACACACACACAAAAAUAAUAAUAAAAAGUCCCGGCAGUCAAAACAAGUGUGUAAGAAAACAAGCAGCAGACAAGAGGAGUGAUUAAAGGGAGGAUGCGUUUCUCUGUCCUUCUCUCAGAUUCAAACCUCUUCGUCCUUCUAGAAAGAGACAUCGUACAUCCAGCGCUCUCGUAAGCUCGUUCCUCUUUACGUCUGUCUUCUAAAACAUCAUGACACCAGCACAGACACCAGCACCAUUCAUGUUGAUAAGCUAAUAACGCUAAUAAAGCUAAAACCCCCAGAAGAGAAUGUUUUUAUUUAUUUGUUUGUUUGUUUGUCUGUUUGUUUUUCCUUGGCACUGUUGCUGUUGCUUCGUUCAACGGAGCCUCGGCACUGAGCUUUUUUGAAAAAUGUAAGAAUUUGACCUAAUUAACUGUGUGAGUGGAGUUCAGGAUUUACAUGUUGUGUCUUUUCCAAAAAAAAAUCUAUUUUAAAUAAAAACACAUAGAUAAAUACAAGAAAGACAGACAGAUCAACAGACCGACCGACAGACCGACAGAUAGACAGA
This is a long non-coding RNA of Tachysurus fulvidraco (yellow catfish), 888 nucleotides long. RefSeq lists it as uncharacterized. The record is from RefSeq and is a predicted model, not a curated record. Lineage: Eukaryota; Metazoa; Chordata; Actinopteri; Siluriformes; Bagridae. The transcript is spliced from 3 exons.